Molecule: ribosomal RNA, 901 nt
Filed under: uncultured Verrucomicrobiales bacterium
Lineage: Bacteria; Pseudomonadati; Verrucomicrobiota; Verrucomicrobiia; Verrucomicrobiales
Description: bacterial SSU rRNA
Rfam family: Bacterial small subunit ribosomal RNA
Source: RNAcentral
UGCAAGUCGAACGCUGAUUACGUGGUAGCAAUAUUGCGUAGUCGGAGUGGCGUACGGGUGCGUAACACGUGGGCAAUCUGCCGUGAAGUUGGGGAUAACCACGAGAAAUCGUGGCUAAUACCGAAUGUGACAGAUUAAGGGCAUCCUUAAACCGUUGAAGCUGGGGACCGCAAGGCCUGGCGCUUCACGAUGAGCCCGCGGCCUAUCAGCUAGUUGGAGGGGUAACGGCCCACCAAGGCUAUGACGGGUAGCUGGUCUGAGAGGACGACCAGCCACACUGGAACUGAGACACGGUCCAGACACCUACGGGUGGCAGCAGUCGAGAAUUUUUCACAAUGGGCGAAAGCCUGAUGGAGCGACGCCGCGUGGGGGAUGAAUGGCUUCGGUCCGUAAACCCCUGUCAUUUGCGAGCAAUGCUUUGAGCCUAAUAUGUUCAAAGUUGAUAGUAGCGAAAGAGGAAGGGACGGCUAACUCCGUGCCAGCAGCCGCGGUAAUACAGAGGUCCCAAGCGUUGUUCGGAUUCACUGGGCGUAAAGGGUGCGUAGGUGGUGAGGUAAGUUUGGUGUGAAAUCCCCGGGCUCAACCCGGGAACUGCAUCGAAUACUAUCUCGCUCGAGGGUCGGAGGGGAGACUGGAAUUCUCGGUGUAGCAGUGAAAUGCGUAGAUAUCGAGAGGAACACCAGUGGCGAAGGCGAGUCUCUGGACGACACCUGACACUGAGGCACGAAAGCUAGGGGAGCAAACAGGAUUAGAUACCCUGGUAGUCCUAGCCGUAAACGGUGUGCACUUGCUGUGAGCGGAAUCGACCCCGUUCGUGGCGUAGCUAACGCGAUAAGUGCACCGCCUGGGGAGUACGGUCGCAAGAUUAAAACUCAAAGAAAUUGACGGGGGCCUGCACAAG